AAAGUUUUCUUUAUUGGGGUUGCGGACAUAUCAUAACGGAGAGGUAUCGUAAUUGAAGAGGUUUGGAAAGACCCACCACAGAAGGUAAUAGUCCUGUAUGUUAAACGAGAAGACUUUAGAUAUGAUCCAGAGUACCACGGGACACGUGAAACCCUGUGGGAAGCAGGAGGGACCACCCUCCAAGGCUAAAUACUACCUAGUGACCGAUAGCGUAUAGUACCGUGAGGGAAAGGUGAAAAGAACCCCGGGAGGGGAGUGAAAUAGAACCUGAAACCCUGCACUUACAAGCUGUGGAAGCACAUUUCUUGUGUGACCGCGUACUUUUUGUAGAACGGGCCAACGAGUUACGUUAAGUAGCAAGGUUAAGCACUUAAGGUGUGGAGCCGUAGCGAAAGCGAGUUUUAACUGAGCGUUCAGUUACUUGACGUAGACCCGAAACCGGGCGACCUACCCAUGAGCAGGAUGAAGCGAAAGUAAAAUUUCGUGGAGGUCCGAACCCACGAGCGUUGAAAAGCUCGGGGAUGACUUGUGGGUAGCGGUGAAAUUCCAAUCGAGCCCGGAGAUAGCUGGUUCUCCCCGAAAUAGCUUUAGGGCUAGCCUCAAGGUGAGAGAUACGGAGGUAGAGCACUGAAUGUCCUAGGGGGUAUUGCACCUACCGAAGACUAUCAAACUCCGAAUGCCGUCAUCUUAUACUUGGGAGUCAGACUGUGGGUGAUAAGAUUCAUAGUCGAAAGGGCAACAGCCCAGAUCGUCAGCUAAGGUCCCUAAAUGUAAGUUAAGUGGUAAAGGAUGUGGGAUUGCACAGACAACCAGGAUGUUGGCUUAGAAGCAGCCACUCAUUCAAAGAGUGCGUAAUAGCUCACUGGUCGAGUGAUCCUGCGCCGAAGAUUUCCGGGGCUAAAACUUACUACCGAAGCUACGGCAUCAGUAAUGAUGGGUAGGGGAGCUUCCCAUACGGGUUGAAGCAUGACCGUAAGGACAUGUGGACAGUAUGGGAGUGAGAAUGUUGGCAUGAGUAGCGAGAUGUGGGUGAGAAUCCCACAGGCCGUAAACCCAAGGUUUCCAGGGGAAGGUUCGUCCGCCCUGGGUUAGUCGGGACCUAAGCUGAGGCCGAAAGGCGUAGGUGAUGGACAACAGGUUGAUAUUCCUGUACUACCGAUAACCGUUUGAGAGAAGGGAUGACACAGUAGGAUAAGCUAAGCACACUGUUGGUUAUGUGUGCCCAAGCAUUGAGGCAGUCAAAGUAGGCAAAUCCGCUUUGAUAAUGCUGGGAUGUGAUGGGGAGCGAAAUUUAGUAGCGAAGUAGCUGAUUUCACACUGUCAAGAAAAGUCUCUAUCGAGGUUAAAGGUACCCGUACCGCAAACCGACACAGGUGGGUGAGGAGAGUAUCCUAAGGCCAGCGAGAGAACUGUUGUUAAGGAACUCGGCAAAAUGACCCCGUAACUUAGGGAUAAGGGGUGCCACCAUUAGGUGGCCGCAGAGAAUAGGCCCAAGCGACUGUUUACCAAAAACAUAGGUUUCUGCUAAGUCGCAAGACGAUGUAUAGGAGCUGACGCCUGCCCGGUGCUGGAAGGUUAAGGGGAUCUGUUAGAG
This 1594-nucleotide ribosomal RNA is filed under the name Clostridioides difficile. RNAcentral describes it as "partial 23S ribosomal RNA". It matches the Rfam family "Bacterial large subunit ribosomal RNA", at positions 279 to 1895 of the family's 2925-position model. Lineage: Bacteria; Bacillati; Bacillota; Clostridia; Peptostreptococcales; Peptostreptococcaceae. The record is from RNAcentral.